Molecule: long non-coding RNA, 307 nt
Filed under: Dasypus novemcinctus (nine-banded armadillo)
Lineage: Eukaryota; Metazoa; Chordata; Mammalia; Cingulata; Dasypodidae
Description: lncRNA (ENSDNOG00000051878.1)
Source: RNAcentral
GGUCCACGUCAGGGGCCUGUGUCAUGUGUCCGGCAUUCGGAGGGGAGGCAGCUCAGCCUCUGCACUCCUCUUCCUGGAGGCGAUUUGUUUUAGAGUGGAUAAUCCCUGGGGCUAUGAGCGUGUCCCACAUCUGCCCUGAAUUGGAAACAGAUUCUGUGAGAACUUACAUCCGAGCUGCUCUCCCUUCCUCGAGUCAGAGCUGCAGCAAGGGGCCCGGCUCAAUGGACACACAGGCUGCCCCCUCCGUGGACCCCCCCGGCCGCAGGGAAUAGGAAUGGGCGUGCCAUUCAAUAGCCAGCAGCAGGAU